RNAcentral lists this ribosomal RNA (410 nucleotides) under uncultured bacterium. RNAcentral's name for it is "bacterial SSU rRNA". It matches the Rfam family "Bacterial small subunit ribosomal RNA", at positions 28 to 433 of the family's 1533-position model. The record is from RNAcentral.
GAUGAACGCUAGCGGCAGGCCUAAUACAUGCAAGUCGAGGGGCAGCACGAAUAGCAAUAUUUGGUGGCGACCGGCAAACGGGUGCGGAACACGUACAGAACCUUCCUUCGAGCGGGGAAUAGCCCGAAGAAAUUCGGAUUAAUACCCCAUAGUAAAUUGAAAAGGCAUCUUUUUAAUUUUAAAGUAUUUAUCACUUGAAGAUGGCUGUGCGCCUGAUUAGGUAGUUGGCGGGGUAACGGCCCACCAAGCCUGCGAUCAGUAACUGGUGUGAGAGCACGACCAGUCACACGGGCACUGAGACACGGGCCCGACUCCUACGGGAGGCAGCAGUAAGGAAUAUUGGUCAAUGGACGCAAGUCUGAACCAGCCAUGCCGCGUGGAGGAUGAAGGUCCUCUGGAUUGUAAACUUC